ACACAUAUGGCACAAAAUAUUCCAGUUCACAUUGAUCUCCCCCCAAUCUUUGUUGGAUGAUACUGGGAAAACAUGUUAUAUGUCAGCAUUGGUGACAUUGAUCAGCAACCAUCAGUUACAGUGUGAUGUAAAUCAAACAACUCUACUAUGACACAGAAUGCAUAUAGCUUUCGGAAAUGAGAUAAAUGCCUUGUAAUUUAUCUUCAAAAUGCUUGUUUAUGAUUCUUUACAAUUGGCACUGUGUCAGUCACCAAAAGGGUAGUGAGGACAUAACUGCAAGACUUUUGAAAUUUUUAUUUCCUAUUCUAACUGGGACAAGUUUUAUUUAGAAAGGAUGGGUAAUAACAUAAUUUUGGGCAAGGACUGAGAAAUUGAGAAGCAAAAAGGAAAAAUGACUUAUUUAACAUAGAAAAAGAUAAUAAAGUUGGAAUACUGGAAAUAACUAAGGACUGAGGUAAUGGAGGGUAGACAAAUCCAGGCUGACUUGGUUUGUAAAGGUUUGUAAAGAUGAUGCCUUUUCCUUUUCUUUUGAGUAGAUGGUUAAU
This 545-nucleotide long non-coding RNA is filed under the name Elaeis guineensis (African oil palm). RNAcentral's name for it is "long non-coding RNA (EGUI_LNC081512)". Lineage: Eukaryota; Viridiplantae; Streptophyta; Magnoliopsida; Arecales; Arecaceae. The record is from RNAcentral.